RNAcentral lists this long non-coding RNA (798 nucleotides) under Anser brachyrhynchus (Pink-footed goose). RNAcentral describes it as "lncRNA (ENSABRG00000003039.1)". The record is from RNAcentral. Lineage: Eukaryota; Metazoa; Chordata; Aves; Anseriformes; Anatidae.
CGCAUACGGUUGAUACAGGGACUGAAUCGAGGAUGCAACUAGUGAAACUGUGGGAAGGGUCUGGUGCCAAAGGCCACCCACCAAAGGAAAAGAAACUCCCAAGAUUCAUGACAUAUCUCCAUCUCUAUCUGCACUCUAUCUGCAACUAUCUAUGUGCCUACUAGACUCUACCUGCAUCUGACAGCUUAAUUUUCUGAGUACCAUUUUGGCAGCAAACUGAAAUUCCUCCCUUCCCAUGUUCUGGGAAGAGCAACUACCCCCACACGGCACGAGGGGGAAAGCUGGAGGGGGGCACUGGGAAGGGCUCAGUAGCCAUCCUGCUGCACAGUGAAGACUGCUCUUCAGCUAGGGCCCGUGUCAGACCCCAUGAGCUCACACUUAGCAUUCAGUGUUGUUCUUCUGCUCAGGACAGGACCUUCUGGUGGCUGUGUCUGCAGGAUGGUCCCAAUUUCCACCACUGUGGCAGUGCCUAGUACCUUUGGUGCUGCUGGUCUUAGUAAGGCCCACGCUGAGGAUCCCUAAGCAUGCUGCAGAACCAGUCCUGAAGAUCUCCAGAGUCUCCUCUCUCCAUCCCCGCUGGCCAGACCACAGCCAAGGAUGUGAAGACACCCCACCAAAGCAGCAGGCAGCGGUAGGGUUGGUUCAGAUACCUGCACUGAGGGACAUGAGAGGAUCUGUGACCACAUAGCAAGGGAGGUCAGUCCAAGAUUAGCUGGGCACUGGGGCUCAAGCUGGGUUGGGAGGACAUCUUUACAAGGGUAGGCAGCAGCCUGGCAGGAGCGACGAAAUGCAUUUUCU